Molecule: ribosomal RNA, 246 nt
Filed under: uncultured bacterium
Lineage: Bacteria
Description: partial 16S ribosomal RNA
Rfam family: Bacterial small subunit ribosomal RNA
Source: RNAcentral
CUAUCUUGAAGUGGGGGAUAACUUGGGGAAACUCAAGCUAAUACCGCAUAUUACUUUUUGUUUUUACAAAAAGGAAAUUUGUCUUUCCACUUAAGCGACCCGAAGGGUCGUUUAAGUGGAAAGAUGAAGCUUUAAGGUGAGCCUACGUUGGAUUAGCUAGUAGGUGAGGUAAAGGCUCACCUAGGCGACGAUCCAUAGCUGUUCUGAGAGGAAGAUCAGCCACACUGGGACUGAGACACGGCCCAG